ACAUUAAAAAAAUAAGAAGAAGAAAAAUCACCAUCUUUUUCCCUCUUCCCAGCUUCAUCACCACCUCUUCCACCUACAGACUGUUGUCAUUUUUGUCAUUUAAAGAUUUGAACGAUUGUGAAGCACUGUGUUGAAAAUCUAGUAAUUUGUUACAGACCGUACUUGCCACAUAGGGCUGAUUUGUAAGAGCCUGAGGACUGCCUUUAAUGGAAUUUGAGUUUGACCUCGUCCUUCCUAGCGUUUGCUGCGUCCUUCAGAGCAGCUGACACUCACUUCUUGAAGGUCUUAUGUGCCCUCUCCUGUCCUGUCCCCACUUGCUUUCCCAGUAGCCACGGCCUUGCCCAGAGGGUCACCUGUUUUCUUUGUCAGGUCAUACCCCCUGUCUUAGAAGGGGCUGUGUAUUAAAUUAGAGUGGGGAGAAACUUCUCCCUGAGCCUUCACAUAAGACUAUUAUUGGAUAUUUAACAAAUUAUAACCCCCAAAAAGGAAUAAGCAUUUAAUAGUCAUUACAAAAUGUCAGACCCAUUAGAUCCAGGCUGAACCAUGCUCUU
RNAcentral lists this long non-coding RNA (551 nucleotides) under Bos taurus (domestic cattle). RNAcentral's name for it is "long non-coding RNA NONBTAT017550". Lineage: Eukaryota; Metazoa; Chordata; Mammalia; Artiodactyla; Bovidae. The record is from RNAcentral.